This 303-nucleotide ribosomal RNA is filed under the name uncultured bacterium. RNAcentral describes it as "partial 16S ribosomal RNA". It matches the Rfam family "Bacterial small subunit ribosomal RNA", at positions 507 to 807 of the family's 1533-position model. The record is from RNAcentral.
AGCAGUCGCCGCGGUAACACGGAGGGUGCAAGCGUUACUCGGAAUCACUGGGCGUAAAGGACGCGUAGGCGGAUUAUCAAGUCUCUCGUGAAAUCUAACGGCUUAACCGUUAAACUGCUUGGGAAACUGAUAAUCUAGAGUAAGGGAGAGGCAGAUGGAAUUCUUGGUGUAGGGGUAAAAUCCGUAGAGAUCAAGAAGAAUACCCAUUGCGAAAGCGAUCUGCUGGAACUUAACUGACGCUAAUGCGUGAAAGCGUGGGGAGCAAACAGGAUUAGAUACCCCCGUAGUCCCUGUCUCUUAUAC